UUCCUUUACAGAUAGUCAUGAGCCAUCAU
Molecule: non-coding RNA, 29 nt
Filed under: Mus musculus (house mouse)
Lineage: Eukaryota; Metazoa; Chordata; Mammalia; Rodentia; Muridae
Source: RNAcentral